CCUACGGGCGGCAGCAGUGAGGAAUAUUGGUCAAUGGGCGGGAGCCUGAACCAGCCAAGUCGCGUGAAGGAAGAAGGUACUUAGUAUUGUAAACUUCUUUUAUAAAGGAAUAAAGUGAGGCACGUGUGCCUUUUUGUAUGUAUUUUAUGAAUAAGGAUCGGCUAACUCCGUGCCAGCAGCCGCGGUAAUACGGAGGAUCCGAGCGUUAUCCGGAUUUAUUGGGUUUAAAGGGAGCGUAGAUGGGUUGUUAAGUCAGUUGUGAAAGUUUGCGGCUCAACCGUAAAAUUGCAAUUGAUACUGGCAGUCUUGAGUACAGUUGAGGUAGGCGGAAUUCGUGGUGUAGCGGUGAAAUGCUUAGAUAUCACGAAGAACUCCGAUUGCGAAGGCAGCUUACUAAACUGCCACUGACAUUGAUGCUCGAAAGUGUGGGUAUCAAACAGGAUUAGAUACCCUUGUAGUC
Molecule: ribosomal RNA, 460 nt
Filed under: uncultured bacterium
Lineage: Bacteria
Description: partial 16S ribosomal RNA
Rfam family: Bacterial small subunit ribosomal RNA
Source: RNAcentral